This 77-nucleotide transfer RNA is filed under the name Crocinitomicaceae bacterium. RNAcentral describes it as "tRNA-Met". It matches the Rfam family "tRNA". From Rfam's summary of the family: Transfer RNA (tRNA) molecules are approximately 80 nucleotides in length. Lineage: Bacteria; Pseudomonadati; Bacteroidota; Flavobacteriia; Flavobacteriales; Crocinitomicaceae. The record is from RNAcentral.
GGCGUGGUAGCUCAGUUGGUUAGAGCGCAGGAUUCAUAACCCUGAGGUCGGGAGUUCAAAUCUCCCUCACGCCACCA